UCAAAGGAAUUGACGGGGGCCCGCACAAGCGGUGGAGCAUGUGGUUUAAUUCGAAGCAACGCGAAGAACCUUACCAGGUCUUGACAUACUCGUGCUAUCCUUAGAGAUAAGGAGUUCCUUCGGGACACGGGAUACAGGUGGUGCAUGGUUGUCGUCAGCUCGUGUCGUGAGAUGUUGGGUUAAGUCCCGCAACGAGCGCAACCCUUAUUACUAGUUGCCAUCAUUAAGUUGGGCACUCUAGUGAGACUGCCGGUGAUAAACCGGAGGAAGGUGGGGAUGACGUCAAAUCAUCAUGCCCCUUAUGACCUGGGCUACACACGUGCUACAAUGGAUGGUACAACGAGUCGCCAACCCGCGAGGGUGCGCUAAUCUCUUAAAACCAUUCUCAGUUCGGAUUGCAGGCUGCAACUCGCCUGCAUGAAGUCGGAAUCGCUAGUAAUCGCGGAUCAGCACGCCGCGGUGAAUACGUUCCCGGGCCUUGUACACACCGCCCGUCACACCACGGAAGUUGGGAGUACCCAAAGUAGGUUGCCUAACCGCAAGGAGGGCGCUUCCUAAGGUAAGACCGAUGACUGGGGUGAAGUCGUAACAAGGUAACCAAGGGCGAAUUCGCGGCC
This 617-nucleotide ribosomal RNA is filed under the name uncultured bacterium. RNAcentral describes it as "bacterial SSU rRNA". It matches the Rfam family "Bacterial small subunit ribosomal RNA", at positions 901 to 1519 of the family's 1533-position model. The record is from RNAcentral.